CCGGGAUUGGGCUUUAUAUAGACCAAUCCUCUGUCCAGAAGUGGGGGGGGGGGCAUGGUCCCUCCCUAACACGGGAUUGGGCCAAUUUAAGGGCAAUCCCCCACCAGGAAAUAGGGAGCAUGGUCCCUCCCCAGCACAAGAUUGGUCCAUUUGAGACCAAUCCCACACCAGGAAGUAGGAAGGUGGGACCCCAGGGGCAUGCUGGGGGCUGCAUUCCCCCCACCCCCAGAAUAUUUUAAAACCCACAAGAGUUACCACUCAAGUGCUAGCCUUCCUCUUUCCAUGUCUCGACUUUUUGCAGUAGUUUACUGGUCAGCAGGUGAGGUCUAUGACACCAGCGUGGGGACCAGCCCAGAGUGAACAAGGUGACAGUACCAGCUGAGGCUACUGGAGGUGACUACGACAGCAAAGGCAGAAGCUUUGGGAGCCCUCAGCCCAGAGAUGAACAUUACAAAAAUCAUUCUUUUACUUGAAUUUCUGGAAUUUGCUGACUACAUUUCUGGUUCUUCCUCUGGAAUAGCAUCCAAAUUUAUAAAGGAGAAACUAGUGGAGCUCAAGGAUGAAAUAGAUAGUAAAACUAUACUAGUGGGAGAACUGAACUUUCCUCUAUCAAAUAUAGAUAAGUCAAACCAAAAAAUAAAUAAGAAAGAGGUAAGUGAUUUGAAUGAAAUCUUAGAUAAAUUAGAGUUAGCAUGUAUGUGCAGAAAAAUAAAUAGGCACAAAAAGGCAUACAUCUUCUUUUCAGUAGCACAUAGUAAGUCACAAAGAUUGACCAUGUGCUAGGGCAUAAAACCAUUGCAAACAAGCGCAAAAGAGGAGAAAUCAUAAAUGAAACCUUUUCAGAUCAUAAUAUAAUAAAAAUAAUAAUUAGUAAGGGUACA
RNAcentral lists this long non-coding RNA (881 nucleotides) under Monodelphis domestica (gray short-tailed opossum). RNAcentral describes it as "lncRNA (ENSMODG00000030211.2)". Lineage: Eukaryota; Metazoa; Chordata; Mammalia; Didelphimorphia; Didelphidae. The record is from RNAcentral.